AAGGAUCAUUGUCGAAACCUGCCUAGCAGAACGACCCGCGAACGCGUUGCAAACAACACCGGAGGUGGUGCGGGUGCAUCCUCGCCUCUCGCCACCCCCGUGUCUCGGAGCGGCCAGUCUCGUCGUCCCUUUGCCCGUCGGGUGGGGUGAGAUGCCGGGAUCAACCUCUUCGAGGCAAAGCGAACAAACCCCCGGCGCGAAUCGCGCCAAGGAAUCGAAACGAAAGAAGGGGCACGUCUUCUGUCGCCGCACCGUUCGCGGUGUCGAUGCUUCAGUGAUGUUGUUCUCUUGUCGCAAAAUAUACAGAACGACUCUCGGCAACGGAUAUCUCGGCUCUCGCAUCGAUGAAGAACGUAGCGAAAUGCGAUACUUGGUGUGAAUUGCAGAAUCCCGUGAACCAUCGAGUCUUUGAACGCAAGUUGCGCCCCAAGCCAUUAGGCCGAGGGCACGUCUGCCUGGGUGUCACGCAUCGUCGCCCCCAUCCAACCAUGAGCCCUCGAGCCUCGGUUGGACCGCGGGCGGAAAUUGGCCUCCCGUGCGCUCACAGCCAGCGGUUGGCCUAAAUUCGAGUCCUCGACGACAUCAUCGUCGCGACGAUCGGUGGUAAUGCUGCAAGCAACCUCGUUCGGAGUCGUGCGCGUCCGUCGAUCGAGACCCUUGAACCCUUUCGGCAUCGCAAGGACGGUGCUCGCAUCGCGACCCCAGGUCAGGCGGGAUUACCCGCUGAGUUUAA
This 733-nucleotide ribosomal RNA is filed under the name Gossypium environmental sample. RNAcentral's name for it is "eukaryotic LSU rRNA". The stretch from base 310 to 465 matches the Rfam family "5.8S ribosomal RNA". The record is from RNAcentral. Lineage: Eukaryota; Viridiplantae; Streptophyta; Magnoliopsida; Malvales; Malvaceae.